RNAcentral lists this signal recognition particle RNA (302 nucleotides) under Cebus imitator (Panamanian white-faced capuchin). Its description in RNAcentral is "Metazoan signal recognition particle RNA (ENSCCAG00000004596.1)". It matches the Rfam family "Metazoan signal recognition particle RNA". Rfam says of the family: The signal recognition particle (SRP) is a universally conserved ribonucleoprotein. It is involved in the co-translational targeting of proteins to membranes. The eukaryotic SRP consists of a 300-nucleotide 7S RNA and six proteins: SRPs 72, 68, 54, 19, 14, and 9. The record is from RNAcentral. Lineage: Eukaryota; Metazoa; Chordata; Mammalia; Primates; Cebidae.
GCCGGGCACAGUGGCGCAUUCCUGUAGUCCCAGCUACUCAGGAGGCUGAGGCGGGAGGAUCGCUUGAGCCCAGGAGUUCUGGGCUGUAGUGUGCUAUGCUGAUUGGGUGUCCGCACUAAGUUCGGCAUCAAUAUGGUGACCUCCCAGGAGCGGGGGACCACCAGGUUUCCUAAGGAGGGGUAAACUGGCCCAGGUCGGAAACGGAGCAGGUCAAAACUCCCGUGCUGAUUGGUAGUGGGAUCGCGCCUGUGAAUAGCCACUGCAUUCCAGCCUAGGCAACAUAGUGGACUCCGUCCGUCUCU